CCGGGAUAUGCAAGAAAAUAAAAUAAAUGGAAAGCGUAAAUUAAAAGAAAAAGUAGGAGAUACUCCCUAUUAUGGGAUAUCCUUCGAGUUCGAAGGGUAUUCGCGGAUCCUCUCGUCUCCCAUAAGCUUUACCUACAAAAUAAAAACACACUUAAAAAACAAGUUAGUAUAAAAUUUAGGAACAAAAUUAAUGCAUGCAAGUCCCGGGAUAUGCAAGAAAAUAAAAUAAAUGGAAAGCGUAAAUUAAAAGAAAAAGUAGGAGAUACUCCCUAUUAUGGGAUAUCCUUCGAGUUCGAAGGAUAUUCGCGGAUCCUCUCGUCUCCCAUAAGCUUUACCUACAAAAUAAACACACUUAAAAAACAAGUUAGUAUAAAAUUAAGGAAUAAAAUUAAUGCAUGCAUGUCCCGGGAUAUGCAAGAAAAUAAAAUAAAUGGAAAGCGUAAAUUAAAAGAAAAAGUAGGAGAUACUCCCUAUUAUGGGAUAUCCUUCGGGUUCGAAGGAUAUUCGCGGAUCCUCUCGUCUCCCAAAAACUUUACCUACAAAAUAAAAACACACUUAAGAAACAAGUUAGUAUAAAAUUUAGGAAAAAAAUUAAUGCAUGCAAGUCCCGGGAUAUGCAAGAAAAUAAAAUAAAUGGAAAGCGUAAAUUAAAAGAAAAAGUAGGAGAUACUCCCUAUUAUGGGAUAUCCUUCGAGUUCGAAGGGUAUUCGCCGAUCCUCUCGUCUCCCAUAAGCUUUACCUACAAAAUAAAAACACACUUAAAAAACAAGUUAGUAUAAAAUUUAGGAACAAAAUUAAUGCAUGCAAGUCCCGGGAUAUGCAAGAAAAUAAAAUAAAUGGAAAGCGUAAAUUAAAAGAAAAAGUAGGAGAUACUCCCAAUUAUGGGAUAUCCUUCGAGUUCGAAGGGUAUUCGCGGAUCGUCUCGUCUCCCAUAAGCUUUACCUACAAAAUAAAAACACACUUAAAAAACAAGUUAGUAUAAAAUUUAGGAACAAAAUUAAUGCAUGCAAGUCCCGGGAUAUGCAAGAAAAUAAAAUAAAUGGAAAGCGUAAAUUAAAAAAAAA
Molecule: long non-coding RNA, 1064 nt
Organism: Andrographis paniculata
Lineage: Eukaryota; Viridiplantae; Streptophyta; Magnoliopsida; Lamiales; Acanthaceae
Exons: 2
Source: RefSeq, a predicted model, not a curated record